CGAGCCCGCUCGGGAGAGUCCCGGCCCCGCCCAACAGGGGGUUGCGGGACGCCGAAGGAGCAACCCCUCCCCGGAAUCUCUCAGGCAUCCGUACCGAGCAGGAUCA
RNAcentral lists this non-coding RNA (106 nucleotides) under Kitasatospora cheerisanensis. RNAcentral's name for it is "Glycine sequence". It matches the Rfam family "Glycine riboswitch aptamer". Rfam says of the family: This family represents the bacterial glycine riboswitch. Glycine riboswitches usually consist of two metabolite-binding aptamers domains with similar structures in tandem. The aptamers cooperatively bind glycine to regulate the expression of downstream genes. RNAcentral also lists the same sequence under 1 other name. The record is from RNAcentral. Lineage: Bacteria; Bacillati; Actinomycetota; Actinomycetes; Kitasatosporales; Streptomycetaceae.